UACGUAGGGGGCUAGCGUUGUCCGGAUUUAUUGGGCGUAAAGAGCGUGUAGGCGGCCAGAUAGGUCUGCUGUGAAAACUCGAGGCUCAACCUCGAGAUGUCGGCGGAAACCAUUUGGCUAGAGUCCGGAAGAGGAAAGUGGAAUUCCUGGUGUAGCGGUGAAAUGCGCAGAUAUCAGGAAGAACACCUAUGGCGAAAGCAGCUCUCUGGGACGGUACUGACGCUGAGACGCGAAAGCGUGGGGAGCGAACAGG
Molecule: ribosomal RNA, 253 nt
Filed under: uncultured bacterium
Lineage: Bacteria
Description: partial 16S ribosomal RNA
Rfam family: Bacterial small subunit ribosomal RNA
Source: RNAcentral